This 26-nucleotide non-coding RNA is filed under the name Mus musculus (house mouse). Lineage: Eukaryota; Metazoa; Chordata; Mammalia; Rodentia; Muridae. The record is from RNAcentral.
GGAUCAGUCCGGAGUUCUCCUCUGGG